GGGCUGGCCUUAGCUCAGCGGUUCCUUCUAGUCAAGCCUUUGCCAACCACUCUUGCUAGUGAGGGUGGUUUGAGACCUGUGGGCACCCUCCAGCCUUUUU
Molecule: unclassified non-coding RNA, 100 nt
Organism: Myotis lucifugus (little brown bat)
Lineage: Eukaryota; Metazoa; Chordata; Mammalia; Chiroptera; Vespertilionidae
Gene: Vault
Rfam family: Vault RNA
About the family: This family of RNAs are found as part of the enigmatic vault ribonucleoprotein complex. The complex consists of a major vault protein (MVP), two minor vault proteins (VPARP and TEP1), and several small untranslated RNA molecules.
Source: Ensembl